RNA transcript from Mus musculus (house mouse), 843 nucleotides. It is a transcript of the gene named hydroxypyruvate isomerase (putative), with no coding region annotated. Lineage: Eukaryota; Metazoa; Chordata; Mammalia; Rodentia; Muridae. The record is from RefSeq and is marked validated. The transcript is spliced from 7 exons.
CGAGGCCGCUCCCUCGCCGCCGCCUUCUGCUCGCAUGGCUCCGCUCCGCUUUUCGGCCAACGUCUCCUGGCUGUUUCCAGAGCUCCCCGGGCUCCCCGAGCGGCUGCACGCCGCGGGCCGUGCGGGCUUCGAAGCGGCCGAGGUGGCCUGGCCGUACACCGAGUCCCCCCAGGCGCUGGCGAGCGCGGCGCAGACUGCGGGACUGCGGCUGGUGCUCAUCAACACGCCGCGGGGAUCCACCUGAUGGCUGGCCGAGUACCCCAAGGGGCUGACCGGGCUGCAGUCAAGGGGGAGAUGGAGACGGUUUUUGUGGAGAAUCUGAAGCAUGCAGCUGGCGUUCUGGCUCAGGAGAACCUCGUGGGACUGCUGGAGCCCAUCAACACCCGAAUCACAGACCCCCAGUAUUUCCUGGACACGCCCCGGCAAGCGGCAGCCAUUUUGCAGAAGGUUGGGAGACCCAAUCUGCAGUUGCAGAUGGACAUAUUCCACUGGCAGAUCAUGGAUGGGAAUCUCACAGGAAACAUCAGGGAGUUUCUGCCCACUGUCGGGCAUGUGCAAGUGGCCCAGGUCCCAGACCGCGGGGAGCCAGGCAGCUCUGGAGAGCUAGACUUUACUUACCUGUUUCAGCUGCUAGAAGAUGAGGGCUACCAAGGAUUUGUGGGUUGCGAGUAUCGGCCUCGAGGAGACACAGUGGAGGGUCUGAGUUGGCUACGUUCAUACUGGGACAGGCGGGGCCACCCACGGACUGGCCAGUAAGGUUCUGCACAGCACCUGCAUGCUGCCCUGGGGCGGUGUGUUAGUGUCCGGAGUCCCCUCCUCUGAAUUAAAAUCACACUGAGCGUU